This 376-nucleotide long non-coding RNA is filed under the name Mytilus galloprovincialis (Mediterranean mussel). Lineage: Eukaryota; Metazoa; Mollusca; Bivalvia; Mytilida; Mytilidae. The record is from RNAcentral.
AAUUUGCCUGAGAUAAUACAAGAGUGCACACGCUGAAAUGUCUGGCCUUCUAUAUUAAUCAUUGAUAUUAUGUUGAUAGUCCUAAGUAUAAAGCUAAGCUUUAAUACAACUGUCACAUAAACUUAACAUUAACCAAGAUAACUAAACAAAGACCAAUGAACCUUGAAAAUUAGGUCAAGGUCAGAUGAACCAUGCCAGGCAGCCAUGUACAGCUAACAAUGCUUCUAUACAACAUAUAUAGUUGACCUAUUACUUAUAGUUUAAGAAAAAUAGACCAAAACACAACCAGGUGCUCCACAGGGCGCAGCUUUAUACGACCGCAGAGGUCGAACCCUGAACAGUUGGGGCAAGUAUGGACAAAACAUUCAAGCGUGAU